Molecule: long non-coding RNA, 423 nt
Filed under: Hordeum vulgare
Lineage: Eukaryota; Viridiplantae; Streptophyta; Magnoliopsida; Poales; Poaceae
Description: long non-coding RNA (HVUL_LNC009409)
Source: RNAcentral
AGAGAGAAGAGGAGACAGAAGAGAAGCGGGCUACAAACUAAUAGCCGGCUGCAAAAUAUGCUCCUAGACACUUUAUGAGAGAGGAUGGUGGACCUUGUAUCAAUAAAGUAGCACUUAUUUACAUCUACCUAUUGUACUUGUGGGCUAUAAGCUCGUUAUAGAUGACGUGUCAACAUCAUAUAGCGAGCAGCUGGUGAUACAUCGUAUAGCCAAUAUUAACCAUGCUCUAAUCUCACUGGUGACACAUCGUAUAGCCAAUAUUAACCAUGCUCUAAUCUCACAUUGACGCCCAUGGCGCAGCCCAGCGCACCCUAAAAAUUAACAACUGGAAAUUGGGGCCACCAAGCCAGGUGUGCCCUACUUGUCCUUGAGCCACAGUAUGUCGUCGGGUGGCACGUACGCACCCUUAUCAAGGCAGAGCCC